Molecule: long non-coding RNA, 312 nt
Organism: Ylistrum balloti
Lineage: Eukaryota; Metazoa; Mollusca; Bivalvia; Pectinida; Pectinidae
Exons: 3
Source: RefSeq, a predicted model, not a curated record
ACCAGUCCUCGCUCUGGUUAUCCUAUGAUUCGCCACCCAUGGACCUUGAUGCACCUCCAGAUGAAGGAUGCAACCAUUCUUCAAAGGUAUACAACACGACUAACCAGCAGUCUAAGCAAGGACCUACAAAACAAUCGGUGACAGGGAAGAGGUUAUCCUACAAAUGUGUCCCAGGAUCCAAAGGAGGUCAGACAAAGUUAGUGUUCAAAGGGAAGUAACUCUUUUUACAGACAUUCCUACAGGAUUUUUACAACAGUUCUUGAAAACUAUUUAUGCCUGUUAUUGUGAUAUACGUACCUUCUAGACCUGCAG